UACAGAGGUCUCAAGCGUUGUUCGGAUUCAUUGGGCGUAAAGGGUGCGUAGGCGGCGCGGUAAGUCGGGUGUGAAAUCUCGGAGCUUAACUCCGAAACUGCAUUCGAUACUGCCGUGCUUGAGGACUGGAGAGGAGACUGGAAUUUACGGUGUAGCGGUGAAAUGCGUAGAUAUCGUAAGGAAGACCAGUGGCGAAGGCGGGUCUCUGGGACGGUACUGACGCUGAGGAGCGAAAGCGUGGGGAGCGAACAGG
This 253-nucleotide ribosomal RNA is filed under the name uncultured bacterium. Its description in RNAcentral is "partial 16S ribosomal RNA". It matches the Rfam family "Bacterial small subunit ribosomal RNA", at positions 524 to 776 of the family's 1533-position model. The record is from RNAcentral.